Caenorhabditis elegans is the source of this 74-nucleotide non-coding RNA. The record is from Ensembl. Lineage: Eukaryota; Metazoa; Nematoda; Chromadorea; Rhabditida; Rhabditidae.
GCGCAUUUUUGGAUACUUAGCGCUUUUCUCGAUCCUUGGCGCAUUUUCUGAUCCUUGGCGCAUUUUUGGAUACU